This 179-nucleotide unclassified non-coding RNA is filed under the name Haliotis rubra (blacklip abalone). RNAcentral describes it as "uncharacterized LOC124273852, transcript variant X1". The record is from RNAcentral. Lineage: Eukaryota; Metazoa; Mollusca; Gastropoda; Lepetellida; Haliotidae.
AGAACAUGUCGUGGCAAUGAGCUUGCACAGGCAAGCCGACUGCAGGUUGUGAAACCUUUCAUCACUUUUACAUCAUGCUGAGAUAGAAAUGGCUUGCUCAAUGGUACAGCGACUGGGUUGUCGUCUUGUCUACAGGACAAAAAUCAUGGUCGAGCCGAAGUUUUCCCCUGCAGUGUCUG